UACGGAGGGUGCAAGCGUUAAUCGGAAUAACUGGGCGUAAAGGGCAUGCAGGCGGUCUGACAAGUAAGAUGUGAAAUACCAGGGCUUAACCUUGGGGCUGCAUUUUAAACUAUCAGACUAGAGUAUUGGAGGGGGAGAUGGAAUUCCAGGUGUAGCGGUGGAAUGCGUAGAUAUCUGGAAGAACACCAAAGGCGAAGGCAAUCUUCUGGCCAAAUACUGACGCUCAGAUGCGAAAGCGUGGGAAG
Molecule: ribosomal RNA, 245 nt
Filed under: uncultured Succinivibrio sp.
Lineage: Bacteria; Pseudomonadati; Pseudomonadota; Gammaproteobacteria; Aeromonadales; Succinivibrionaceae
Description: partial 16S ribosomal RNA
Rfam family: Bacterial small subunit ribosomal RNA
Source: RNAcentral